Molecule: ribosomal RNA, 406 nt
Filed under: uncultured bacterium
Lineage: Bacteria
Description: partial 16S ribosomal RNA
Rfam family: Bacterial small subunit ribosomal RNA
Source: RNAcentral
AUUGAACGCUGGCGGCAGGCCUAACACAUGCAAGUCGAACGAGUGUCGGACGGGCUAGUAAUGUCUGGGAACCUGCCUGACGGACGGGGAAAACUUUUGGAACCUGUAGCUACUACUGCUUACCAUCAGUUGCUCACAGAUGGGAUUAGCUAGUUGGUGGGGUAACGGCCCCCCAAGGGCACGAUCCCUAGCCGGUCUGAGAGGAUGCCCAGCCAAACGGGAACGUAUACACGGUCCAGACUCCUACGGUAGGCAGCAGUGGGGAAUAUUGGACAAUGGGCGCAAGCCUGAUGCAGCCAUGCCGCGUGUGUGAAGAAGGCCUUCGGGUUGUAAAGUACUUUCGGCGGGGAGGCGUUACCCGCAGAAGAAGCACCGGCUAACGCCGUGCCAGCCGCCGCGGUAAUUC